Molecule: non-coding RNA, 78 nt
Organism: Schistosoma haematobium
Lineage: Eukaryota; Metazoa; Platyhelminthes; Trematoda; Strigeidida; Schistosomatidae
Source: Rfam
AGCUUUUCGAAUCUGUGCAGAGGUUUCGUCAGACACCAACCCACUAGGACUGAUCAGAUUUCCAAGAUAAGUGAAGUU